Molecule: ribosomal RNA, 635 nt
Filed under: uncultured bacterium
Lineage: Bacteria
Description: bacterial SSU rRNA
Rfam family: Bacterial small subunit ribosomal RNA
Source: RNAcentral
UUGAACGCUGGCGGCAUGCUUUACACAUGCAAGUCGAACGGCAGCAUGGGUGCUUGCACCUGAUGGCGAGUGGCGAACGGGUGAGUAAUGUAUCGGAACAUAUCCGCAAGUGGGGGAUAACGUAGCGAAAGUUACGCUAAUACCGCAUAUUCCCUGAGGGGGAAAGGAGGGGAUCCGCAAGGACCUUUCGCUUACGGAGUGGCCGAUAUCAGAUUAGCUAGUUGGUGGGGUAAAGGCCUACCAAGGCGACGAUCUGUAGCGGGUCUGAGAGGAUGAUCCGCCACACUGGGACUGAGACACGGCCCAGACUCCUACGGGAGGCAGCAGUGGGGAAUUUUGGACAAUGGGGGCAACCCUGAUCCAGCCAUGCCGCGUGAGUGAAGAAGGCCUUCGGGUUGUAAAGCUCUUUCAGCUGGAAAAAAAUCGCAUCACCUAAUACGUGGUGUGGAUGAUGGUACCAGCAGAAGAAGCACCGGCUAACUACGUGCCAGCAGCCGCGGUAAUACGUAGGGUGCGAGCGUUAAUCGGAAUUACUGGGCGUAAAGCGUGCGCAGGCGGUUUUGUAAGACAGACGUGAAAUCCCCGGGCUUAACCUGGGAACUGCGUUUGUGACUGCAAGGCUAGAGUAUGGCAGA